RNAcentral lists this non-coding RNA (21 nucleotides) under Caenorhabditis elegans. The record is from RNAcentral. Lineage: Eukaryota; Metazoa; Nematoda; Chromadorea; Rhabditida; Rhabditidae.
UGCCACAGUCGGUUAUUUUAU